UACGUGGGGUGCGAGCGUUAAUCGGAAUUACUGGGCGUAAAGCGUGCGCAGGCGGCGCGUUAAGACAGGUGUGAAAGCCCCGAGCUUAACUUGGGAAUUGUGCUUGUGACUGGCGUGCUGGAGUGUGGCAGAGGGAGGUGGAAUUCCACGUGUAGCAGUGAAAUGCGUAGAGAUGUGGAGGAACACCGAUGGCGAAGGCAGCCUCCUGGGCCAGCACUGACGCUCAUGCACGAAAGCGUGGGGAGCAAACAGG
Molecule: ribosomal RNA, 253 nt
Filed under: uncultured bacterium
Lineage: Bacteria
Description: partial 16S ribosomal RNA
Rfam family: Bacterial small subunit ribosomal RNA
Source: RNAcentral